AACGCGAAGAACCUUACCUGGGCUCGAACGGCUUUGGAUCAUCUUUGGAAACAGAGACUUCCCGCAAGGGACCGGAGUCGAGGUGCUGCAUGGCUGUCGUCAGCUCGUGUCGUGAGAUGUUGGGUUAAGUCCCGCAACGAGCGCAACCCUUGUCCUGUGUUGCCACUCCCGUAAGGGAAGCACUCUCAGGAGACCGCCAGCGAUAAGUUGGAGGAAGGUGGGGAUGAUGUCAAGUCAUCAUGGCCUUUAUGUCCAGGGCUACACACGUGCUACAAUGGACGGUACAAAGCGCUGCAAACCCGCGAGGGGGAGCCAAUCGCAAAAAACCGUUCUCAGUUCGGAUCGCAGGCUGCAACUCGCCUGCGUGAAGCUGGAAUCGCUAGUAAUGGCGUAUCAGAACGAUGCCGUGAAUACGUUCCCGGGCCUUGUA
RNAcentral lists this ribosomal RNA (430 nucleotides) under uncultured Acidobacterium sp. Its description in RNAcentral is "bacterial SSU rRNA". It matches the Rfam family "Bacterial small subunit ribosomal RNA", at positions 958 to 1385 of the family's 1533-position model. Lineage: Bacteria; Pseudomonadati; Acidobacteriota; Terriglobia; Terriglobales; Acidobacteriaceae. The record is from RNAcentral.